RNAcentral lists this microRNA precursor (185 nucleotides) under Oryza brachyantha (malo sina). RNAcentral's name for it is "MIR812 microRNA precursor family". It matches the Rfam family "MIR812 microRNA precursor family". Lineage: Eukaryota; Viridiplantae; Streptophyta; Magnoliopsida; Poales; Poaceae. The record is from Rfam by way of RNAcentral.
AAUAAGUUUAUUUUUUAGUUUUCGAUACAACAUAUGUCUCUUUGUUUUGUUUGGAAUUUGUUGUGACUAAUAUUUUUAUUACUGUUAAAUAAUAAAAUACGAAUGCUAUUUUACACGUGACUAAUUUUUUUAAGUUUUUCUAAAAAUUUUUAAAUAAAACGAAUAGUUAAACGUUGUCAAAAAUC